AGCAGGUGCAUCCAGACUAGCCUUGCCAUUAGAAAGUAAUCAGAAAACCACUACUUGGAAACUACUUCGAAAAGAGUUCUGGGGAGCUCCUAUUCUACCCACUUCUAUCACUGGCUCCCCUCCAAAGAGGAUCUGAUCAUCUGACUGGUUGGCAACAUACAGACUUCAAAAAGAAGGCAACUGACAGAAUUUGUGAAGAAAAGAAGCAGUGCCUGAGGUUGCUUAAGGAUGGGAGCUUAUGUCUCAGUUACUCUACUCUCUUUCUGAGAAAGAUAAACAUAAAACCUAAUCGAGGAAUUUUCACCUCUUACACAAAACAACAGUGAAGAGUAUCAUUUGGGAAAAGGAAUUUGACAACUAAUAGUUAAAAAGACUGAUAGGUAAACAUAACAUUCUUGUCUGAGAAUGCUAAGAGAACCUCUAACUGAUAAAAAUUGUGAGGCUUGGAAAAAUAAAAAAAUUAGGAUUAAACAUGACAAUGGAGCAGUCACAUAAACUUACCAAAGGGAGAGAAAAAAAACCCUUAGAAUUAACCGUAGUUAGGGUGAUCACAUGUCUCAGUUUUCCUGGAUCAGUCUUAGUUCAAACCUUAAAACUGGCAAAAUUAAUAAUUAUACCCUGUUUACUCUCAAAGGUGUCCUUGUUCAGACCAAAUAUUAUAAAUGUCACUGUAGCCAAAGAGGAUGAAGCAGUCUUAUUCCUAUGCAUGGCAACCAGGAAAAGAACAAAGGGAGUAUCUCUGAAAACUGGGACGUGCCAUUCUGUUUAUGACAUGACAGUUCAUUACAAAAAGGCAAAUGCGGUGGCCUCGACCAAUAUACAUUUAUUUAUAAAAUGAGUACCAACCCACAAAACUGUUUUGAAUUACUUAGUGGAAAUCAGGAUCUUUCAUCACAGAAAUAAAGGAAAGCAGAGAAGGGGAGAUAAAAUUGGCAACAUCCUCUGAAACUCAAGCCGAAAACCAUGUUUCAGCAAAGGAAACACAGAAUCCUUACCCAAUGCCAUGGCACAUGAGAGCCUUUCCACAUGCCAGACAAACCAUUCUAGCAAGAAUCCUAGUCCAAACUGGGAUUGUGAGUAUAUUUGUAUUUUCUCUACUUUAAGAGAAGACUAGCAGAAUUUUUCUUGUAAAUUUAGGGAUGCAUAAUCACAUGUUGUUUUACAUAAACAUGUAUUCCAAUUUACAUAAAUUUGCAUAGCAUUUUCUCAAAAAACUAGCUCUGAAUAUGUAAAACAAAUUAAUCUGUGCUCUCUAAUCUAAUUGUAUUCAAAUACAAGAUCCAAGGCUACCACAAGAGGUAGGCUUACCAGAUACAGCAAUGGCAUCACUCCAGAACUCUUUACAGAAAAUAGGUAAAAGUUAUAUAUUAGAUAAAACUAGGAUAUUUCCAAAAAUUAACUAGAAACAUUCAACAAACUGUUGAUGAAAUAAUCCCAGGUUGAAAACAUAUAGAUGAUAUACGCGACACUAUUCAUUAAAGACUAGCAUGAGGUUGCCUGUUUACCACAUUCUUCAUAGCCAUGUUCAACUUCAGUUCUUCAAGAUUGUUUGCUCUAAAAAAAGUAGUCAUAAGCUAUAGAGAAGGAGUCGCUUUUUUAUCUAUAUUUUAACAAGAAUAUACUGGAAAUUAUUAUUACUACAGCUAAAAAGCAAUGGCAUUUAAUUUCUAAUUACCAGUAAAAUAUUUCAGGACUGGUUCUUUCUUCUUAUUAUUAAAUGUAAACAACAGAAGGGGAGAGAAGUAGUCUUCUUCCUGUCUUUCAUAAAUUAAACUGCUACUUGGUAAAUAAUUAUUUCUGUGCGAUAAGAUAGUCUAGCACUAUGGCUUUUUUUCAAAGUUUUUUUUUUUUUUUUUUAAAGAUUUCCUUUAUUGAUUCUGAGAAGCACAGUAAAAUCUUCUGUAGCCCUUAACUAAAAUCUUUUCAUGCCCCACACAGGUAUGGGGUUCCUAGUUGUUCAGAUUAGAUCCAGAGUUGGCAAUUCUUGAACAUGUUAACAUGCAAAAAUAAAAAACAAAAAAAACUUUCUUCAAGGGAAAAAAAAAUGAGAAAUUGAUAAACGUGAAAGCUGUGAACUACUCAAAGAGAGCAUAAAAUAAGCCCAGUAAUACACAAACCAGAUCAUGUCAGCUGUCUACUCAGUAGCUUCUAAUAGCUUCCCAUCGCCUUCAGAAUAAAAUCCAAAUUUACCAGGAACCACAAGACACUACACAAUCUGGCAUCUAGCUGCCACUGCGGUCUCACUGCAUGUUGCAUUCACUUACUGCACAAGCCUUUUUGCUAUGCUUUUAACAUGCCAAGCAGGGUUUUGCCUUAGGGUCCUUGCUUUGGUUUUCAGUGUUACAGUUGGAUUUGGGGGAAAGGAAGAUUAGAACAGGUCAAGUUAAAACACCAUCAAUCUCUAGUCUUACCAAGAGUCUUCCAUUUUUCUUGAAUGAACCAUGCUUAGUUUGUUGCAUGACUGCAGUGAAUUUCCAGAGUUCUGAAAAAGUUGAUUUUGAUCAUUUGUGCCAGUGUUCUUGUUGCUUUAUGGAAGAGUGUUUUUUUUGGGAAGUCCUUACUUUGCCAUUCUGGAAAUGCCAUUCUGAAUAUUCUUCUUUAAAAUUCACUAAAACUUGACAAGUGGUAGGUUGUUAACAAUUAGUUGUAUGUUAUUUCUGAAACUGUAACAGUAGAAUUUUUGUACUCUGUUUAACAUUAAACCAUGAAAUUUACUUUUCUAUAAAAGAUUAGGUUAACUUUUAUUUAUUCAACAAAUAUGUUUUGAGUCACUGCCUUGUAUCAGUCACUAUUCCAGGCACUGGAGAUCUGGCAGGGAUGAGGAAGUGACAUUUGCAUAGAGGUUCUAAUGAAGUGAGGGAAUGCGCCAUGGGAAGACAAUUCCAGACUGUCUGAAAAAGACGCAUUUAGAUUCCGUGACACAAAUAGAUUGAAAGUAAAUGGAAAGAAAAUAAUAUAUCAUGCAAAUGGUACCCAAAAGAAAGCU
This is a long non-coding RNA of Mustela erminea (ermine), 2986 nucleotides long. RefSeq lists it as uncharacterized. The record is from RefSeq and is a predicted model, not a curated record. The transcript has 3 exons. Lineage: Eukaryota; Metazoa; Chordata; Mammalia; Carnivora; Mustelidae.